CUAGAUAUAUAUUUAUAUAAACCCAAACAGGCUCGGCCCGGUCCGGUCCAAUAAUUAAUUAAUCCAAUUAAUUAAACCCGGUCCGUGAAUUAAUUAAUCCAAUUAAUUAAUUCGAAAAUAUAAAUAACAAAUCCAAUUAAUUAAUUUAUUCAACGAUUGUUAAAUUAAUCAAUUGGCAAUUUGCAAUCUUCCAAUUCUCUUUUGUGUGUGACCCAUUAGGUUCCCGACCACGAUGCCUAACGACGUGAAAUAUUAUUUUGAUCUAAUCAAAAUUGAUAAAUUAAAACACCCUUUUAAUUUAUCGUCAAA
This 309-nucleotide long non-coding RNA is filed under the name Olea europaea (common olive). RNAcentral describes it as "long non-coding RNA (OEUR_LNC015278)". Lineage: Eukaryota; Viridiplantae; Streptophyta; Magnoliopsida; Lamiales; Oleaceae. The record is from RNAcentral.